ACUAUUGUCUGUAAUACCAUCAUAUUACAGGUACUGUUAACUAUUAGUACCUGAAUUUUGGAGGGAACACAUUCAAACUAUAGCACCUAUUUAGGCUAAAAAGAUAGUUCAUUGUUAGUGUAUGAAAAAACUACUGAUUUUUUAUGUUGAUUUUAUAUACUGCAACUUUAUUGAAUUCUCAAUAAAUGGUGUUGAAAAAACUGGAUGUCCUCAUGAAGAAGAAUGAAAUUGAACACAUCACAUCCCAUAUACAAGAAUCAACUCAAAAUAUUUCCAAAUUUAAACAUUAUGAAGUUUGAGCUAUUUAGGAAGUUAAGGAGAUAACUGGAUCAUUUAGUCAGACACCCUUAAGGCACUGAUGCUCUCAGUUGAUCUAGCAAAUAGGCAUCUGUCACAGAAAAUAGAGAAGAUAUCCCAAGAGAAGAGGAGAAACUCCACAACGUGAAGAGAUUUCCAGAGGCAUUAGCACUCCAUCUGUCACUAUCGGCAUCCUGUGACAUGGUUUAGUUUACAUGUGCCUGGUUAGGCUGAUUUACAUAAUAUAUUAUCUAGUUAUACCUUAAAUAAACCUCAAAAAU
Molecule: long non-coding RNA, 578 nt
Filed under: Pongo abelii (Sumatran orangutan)
Lineage: Eukaryota; Metazoa; Chordata; Mammalia; Primates; Hominidae
Description: lincRNA
Source: RNAcentral